AGUGAACGCUGGCGGUAGGCCUAACACAUGCAAGUCGAACGGCAGCACAGUAAGAGCUUGCUCUUACGGGUGGCGGGUGGCGGACGGGUGAGGAAUACAUCGGAAUCUACUUUUUCGUGGGGGAUAACGUAGGGAAACUUACGCUAAUACCGCAUACGACCUACGGGUGAAAGCAGGGGAUCUUCGGACCUUGCGCGAUUGAAUGAGCCGAUGUCGGAUUAGCUAGUUGGCGGGGUAAAGGCCCACCAAGGCGACGAUCCGUAGCUGGUCUGAGAGGAUGAUCAGCCACACUGGAACGGAGACACGGUCCAGACUCCUACGGGAGGCAGCAGUGGGGAAUAUUGGACAAUGGGCGCAAGCCUGAUCCAGCCAUACCGCGUGGGUGAAGAAGGCCUUCGGGUUGUAAAGCCCUUUUGUUGGGAAAGAAAAGCAGCAGGUUAAUACCCCGCUGUUCUGACGGUACCCAAAGAAUAAGCACCGGCUAACUUCGUG
This 492-nucleotide ribosomal RNA is filed under the name uncultured bacterium. RNAcentral's name for it is "partial 16S ribosomal RNA". It matches the Rfam family "Bacterial small subunit ribosomal RNA", at positions 29 to 507 of the family's 1533-position model. The record is from RNAcentral.